Molecule: long non-coding RNA, 316 nt
Filed under: Phoenix dactylifera (date palm)
Lineage: Eukaryota; Viridiplantae; Streptophyta; Magnoliopsida; Arecales; Arecaceae
Description: long non-coding RNA (PDAC_LNC016562)
Source: RNAcentral
CUUACUAGAAGUGAUUAAUUCCUUGUUGACCUACUCAUAAUUUUCGUACACAAUUCACCAUAUCCAGAAGACCCCAUACACAGCUUAAAGUCAUGAAUGAGUAUAAACUAAAACAUGGGUUCAUGUGCACAAGAUACCAUGGUGAUCUCAAGUCAUAGGAUCAGUUGCACAACUUCUACUAAGAGAAUCAUCUUUUGACAUGUAAGUAAGACUUCAUAAGAUUUCUCUUUGCAGGUCAAUUCAGUGAACUCAUUCUUCUAAUGAGCACCCACAUCUUUGUAUUAGUGUCUCCACACAAGUGAUUGUGAGAUCAAUC